AGAAUCAACGCUGGCGGCGUGCCUAACACAUGCAAGUCGCACGAGAAAGGGGAGCAAUCCCUGAGUACAGUGGCGCACGGGUGAGUAACACGUGACUACCUACCCUCGAGUGGGGAAUAACCUCGGGAAACCGGGCUAAUACCGCAUAACAUCUACGGAUCAAAUGCGAAAGCAGCUUGAGGAGGGGGUCGCGGCCGAUUAGCUAGUUGGUGAGGUAAUGGCCCACCAAGGCAAUGAUCGGUA
This 243-nucleotide ribosomal RNA is filed under the name uncultured bacterium. RNAcentral's name for it is "partial small subunit ribosomal RNA". It matches the Rfam family "Bacterial small subunit ribosomal RNA", at positions 26 to 285 of the family's 1533-position model. The record is from RNAcentral.